Molecule: long non-coding RNA, 462 nt
Organism: Varanus komodoensis (Komodo dragon)
Lineage: Eukaryota; Metazoa; Chordata; Lepidosauria; Squamata; Varanidae
Exons: 3
Source: RefSeq, a predicted model, not a curated record
GUUGAGUUUCAAGCAACUUAAUAUACCAGCAAAAGAAUAUUUUGUACCAGUUUUCUUUUAGUGCUUGACUAGCUGUAAAUAUUGUAUCUUUCAUCCAUAAGGUUUCCCAUUGGUGGAAAGAGGUUUCUUCCUCAAAGUUCCGCAUCCAUCUUAUCAUGCGGAUUUUAACUUGUGCAGUUUCAGUAUCCUAUUGCAAUAAUUGUUAAAUCCAUCCUAAUAAGUGAUCUUUUUGCUGCAAAAUCAACUUUUCAAAUUCUGUCAGGUGUCUUUAUGGUACCUCUUCCUAUCUGAAUUUCCCUUUUCAGUCUUGCAACCAAUUGAACAUAGAGAAGCCAUUCUUUCUUUUUAUUUCAUCUUUUAGUUUUUGCCAAGCCUAAACUCCUCCUUGUUGAUCAGUCAUAUCUCAAUUUGUUAUGAAAUCAUUACUUUUCCUUAGAUGCUUAUCACAGUAUUUCUAUUGGA